Molecule: transfer RNA, 73 nt
Filed under: Filobacillus milosensis
Lineage: Bacteria; Bacillati; Bacillota; Bacilli; Caryophanales; Bacillaceae
Also listed under: 5 other names
Rfam family: tRNA
About the family: Transfer RNA (tRNA) molecules are approximately 80 nucleotides in length. Their secondary structure includes four short double-helical elements and three loops (D, anti-codon, and T loops).
Source: Rfam by way of RNAcentral
GCGGUCGUGGCGAAGUGGUUAACGCACCGGAUUGUGGCUCCGGCACUCGUGGGUUCGAUUCCCACCGAUCGCC